Molecule: ribosomal RNA, 216 nt
Filed under: uncultured bacterium
Lineage: Bacteria
Description: partial 16S ribosomal RNA
Rfam family: Bacterial small subunit ribosomal RNA
Source: RNAcentral
UAUAUCGGAACGUGCCCAGUCUGGGGGAUAACGUAGCGAAAGCUACGCUAAUACCGCAUACGAUCUAUGGAUGAAAGCGGGGGAUCGCAAGACCUCGCGCGAUUGGAGCGGCCGAUAUCAGAUUAGCUAGUUGGUGGGGUAAAAGCCCACCAAGGCGACGAUCUGUAGCUGGUCUGAGAGGACGACCAGCCACACUGGAACUGAGACACGGUCCAG